This 148-nucleotide unclassified non-coding RNA is filed under the name uncultured Sclerotiniaceae. RNAcentral's name for it is "sequence contains ITS2". The record is from RNAcentral. Lineage: Eukaryota; Fungi; Ascomycota; Leotiomycetes; Helotiales; Sclerotiniaceae.
CAACCCUCAAGCAUUGCUUGGUGUUGGGCCUCUUGCCAGCGAUGGCAGGCCCUAAAGCUAGUGGCGGCGCCGCUGGGUCCUGAGCGUAGUAAUUCUCUCGCUACUGGGCUUCGGUGAGCUUCCUGCCAGCAACCCCAAUUUUCUAUGG